Molecule: ribosomal RNA, 250 nt
Filed under: uncultured bacterium
Lineage: Bacteria
Description: partial 16S ribosomal RNA
Rfam family: Bacterial small subunit ribosomal RNA
Source: RNAcentral
GACGAACCGUGCGAACGUUAUUCGGAAUCACUGGGCUUAAAGCGCGAUGUAGGCGGCCCGGCACGUCCGUCGCUGAAAUCCCCCGGCUCAACCGGGGAAGUGGCGUGGAUACGACCGGCUGGAGGGGGGUAGGGGAGCCGGAACUUCGGUGGAGCGGUGAAAUGCGUUGAGAUCGGAAGGAACGCCGUGGCGAAAGCGGGCUCCUGGACCCAACCUGACGCUGAGACGCGAAAGCCAGGGAGCGAACGGG